RNAcentral lists this ribosomal RNA (468 nucleotides) under uncultured bacterium. RNAcentral describes it as "partial 16S ribosomal RNA". It matches the Rfam family "Bacterial small subunit ribosomal RNA", at positions 28 to 507 of the family's 1533-position model. The record is from RNAcentral.
GACGAACGCUGGCGGCGUGCUUAACACAUGCAAGUCGAACGGAAAGGCCCUGCUUUUGUGGGGUGCUCGAGUGGCGAACGGGUGAGUAACACGUGAGUAACCUGCCCUUGACUUUGGGAUAACUUCAGGAAACUGUGGCUAAUACCGGAUAGGAGCUCCUGCUGCAUGGUGGGGGUUGGAAAGUUUCGGCGGCUGGGGAUGGACUCGCGGCUUAUCAGCUUGUUGGUGGGGUAGUGGCUUACCAAGGCUUUGACGGGUAGCCGGCCUGAGAGGGUGACCGGCCACAUUGGGACUGAGAUACGGCCCAGACUCCUACGGGAGGCAGCAGUGGGGAAUAUUGCACAAUGGGCGGAAGCCUGAUGCAGCAACGCCGCGUGCGGGAUGACGGCCUUCGGGUUGUAAACCGCUUUCGCCUGUGACGAAGCGUGAGUGACGGUAAUGGGUAAAGAAGCACCGGCUAACUACGUG